GGUUUCAUGGUGUAGUUGGUUAUCACGCGACCUUAACAAGGCUCUUCUUGAGCACUGUCCGGUCGAGGUCUUGAGUUCGAUCCUCAAUGAAAUCA
Arthrobotrys megalospora is the source of this 95-nucleotide non-coding RNA. The record is from the annotation of a GenBank genome assembly. NCBI's taxonomy places the organism in Eukaryota, Fungi, Ascomycota, Orbiliomycetes, Orbiliales, Orbiliaceae.